CCUACGGGUGGCAGCAGUGGGGAAUAUUGGACAAUGGGGGGAACCCUGAUCCAGCGACGCCGCGUGAGUGAAGAAGUAUUUCGGUAUGUAAAGCUCUAUCAGCAGGGAAGAAAAUGACGGUACCUGACUAAGAAGCCCCGGCUAACUACGUGCCAGCAGCCGCGGUAAUACGUAGGGGGCAAGCGUUAUCCGGAUUUACGGGGUGUAAAGGGAGCGUAGACGGUUAAUCAAGUCAGAGGUGAAAACCCAGGGCUCAACCUUGGGACUGCUUUUGAAACUGAGUAGCUAGAGUGCUGGAGAGGUAAGCGGAAUUCCUAGUGUAGCGGUGAAAUGCGUAGAGAUUAGGAGGAACACCAGUGGCGAAGGCGGCUUACUGGACUGUAACUGACGUUGAGGCUCGAAAGCGUGGGGAGCAAACAGGAUUAGAUACCCUGGUAGUC
This 440-nucleotide ribosomal RNA is filed under the name uncultured bacterium. RNAcentral describes it as "partial 16S ribosomal RNA". It matches the Rfam family "Bacterial small subunit ribosomal RNA", at positions 338 to 795 of the family's 1533-position model. The record is from RNAcentral.